This 1215-nucleotide long non-coding RNA is filed under the name Malus domestica (apple). RNAcentral describes it as "long non-coding RNA (MDOM_LNC016489)". The record is from RNAcentral. Lineage: Eukaryota; Viridiplantae; Streptophyta; Magnoliopsida; Rosales; Rosaceae.
CGAGCAUCACUUAUAACCCAUCACUUAUGUACUGAGGAGCGAGCCCUUAUUCUAUAAAAGGGACUCCCUCACCACCAUUAGAGAGCAUCGUCGCUUACUAAGCAACCGCCUCGCUGCGAGCAUCAACUCUAGCCCAUCAUUCAUGUAUUGAGGAGCGAGCCCUCAUCUAGUUACUUCGGUCCACACAUGGACUGAAUUUCAAGUUUCUAGCCAAAAGACUUUAUUGACUGAAGACUUGGGGGACUACUAUUUAUACCAUACUUAAGGGCCUCCGUAUUUAGAUCUCGUACAAAUACUCGGAGGACUUAAAUGUAAUUAUGUAAUAAAGGAAGGGGCAACUAUGUAAUAAGUAAGGAGCCCUUAUUUUAUAAAAGGACUCCUCACCCUCACAAUUGGAGGAGGCCAAUUCCUAGGCCUUCUCACCCUCAGAAGCUCUCUCAUCCUAAAUACUCUCAGAAAUACAAUAAUCAGUGUGGACGUAGCCCAAACCUUGGGGUGAACCACGAUACAUCUUGUGUUAUUUACAUUUCUUGCAGAUUCACGGUCGGAUUUACGUUGUUCCAAGACCUCCGGUUUUGUGCAUCAACUGGAGGUAUUAUUUUGAAAUAAAAUAGUACUUGAGGUAUGAAAGUGAAAUGUUUUAAAAAUGUUGUAUGAGGUUGUAAUAGACCUCAAACCUGAGGGGUUACUAUGUAAUUUACCUAUAUAUAAAAUACUGAAACAGUUAUCAACAUACUAACCCCCAAAGUUUAAUGAACACUCAUAGCAUAAUAUGUAAUAGGUUUCCAAAACCCUAACAUGCCAUAAAACCUUUCAUGAAACAUAUCUCAUAUAUAUAGUGUGCUAACUAGUGAUAUCAGUAUUAGUAUUUCUCGGCCCGAAGCCAUUAACAUAUGUCUCCGCCAGCCAUAUAUCUCCCUCAGCCAUAUAUCUCCCUCGCCCGUAGGCAGAACAACGACCAAUAGAUACACACAAAAUCAUUGAACAUAGAUUUUCCAAACAUAGGUACAUAUAUCUCGAAACAUCUUUAUAACAUAUAGUCAUCCAUCAUAUAUACUAUAAAGAAGUGUGUAAAAGCAUUUUCAUAAAUAGUAUAUAGUCAUCCAUCGUAUAUACUACAAAGAACAUCAGUUCGAUAAAAUAUGAUAUUCCAAAAUAUUCUCAGUAAGCAUAAUAUCUCAUAAAAUGUAAUCAUUAAAUCAUACUUUUCAUGUA